This 217-nucleotide long non-coding RNA is filed under the name Hordeum vulgare. RNAcentral describes it as "long non-coding RNA (HVUL_LNC008833)". The record is from RNAcentral. Lineage: Eukaryota; Viridiplantae; Streptophyta; Magnoliopsida; Poales; Poaceae.
UUCUUUCACGAGGAACCGAGCCGAAGCUCUCCUUCUCCCGUGAUUUCUUUCCCAGUGUCCCUCUCCUCCUUCCUUCUUUCUUCUCCCUACUCCUUCCUUCUCCCACCCGAGCCUCUCCUCCCUCUCUUCUCUCCAGCGGUUCUUUCUUUCCUUUCUCUGCCCAGGAACCGAGCUCUCCUCUCUCCCUCGCGAUUCCCUUCCCGCGAGCUCCCUCCCC